GGGGUUUUCGCUUUUCAGUGAAAGAGGAGCCACCAGGGUUUCAAGAAGCACCGCAAAACCCCUUGAAGAAUUAGUUAUUCUUGUUGAACGGUGAAAAAAUGGUGGGCAAGAAGGGAGGAAGCAAAGGAAUGGGGGCAGCAGAAGAUGCAGAGGAAGAAUUGGCUCGUACCCCUUUGCAAGCGAUUAUCUUGGCUGAUAGUUUCACCACUAAGUUCCGACCCAUCACUCUUGAACGCCCUAAAGUACUGCUACCAUUGGUCAAUGCCCCUAUGAUAGAUUAUACCUUGGCAUGGCUUGAAUCUGCUGGUGUUGAAGAAGUUUUUGUUUUCUGUUGUGCUCAUUCCAAGCAAGUGAUGGAUUAUUUGGAUAAGUCCAAUUGGUUUGGCCAACCAAACUUUUCAGUCACAACGAUCGAAUCACACAAUGCUAUUAGUGCAGGAGAUGCUUUGCGUUUAAUCUAUGAGCAACAUGUGAUACGCGGUGAUUUUAUCCUCGUCAGUGGAGAUACUGUGAGCAACAUGUCACUAUCACAGGCACUUAAGGAACAUAAGGAGAGACGAAGAAAGGAUAGCAAUGCUGUAAUGACCAUGGUCAUUAAACAAUCAAAGGCUUCACCUGUAACUCGCCAAUCUCGUCUUGGAACUGAAGAGCUUUUUAUGGUAAUUGAUCCAGAGACGAAGCAGCUGCUGUAUUAUGAAGACAGGGGAGAUAAUUUAAAAGGAUAUUUGUCUCUUGACAAGGCAUUGCUCACUUAUAAUACUUCCAUUUCCCUUCAAA
This 777-nucleotide unclassified non-coding RNA is filed under the name Hevea brasiliensis (rubber tree). The record is from RNAcentral. Lineage: Eukaryota; Viridiplantae; Streptophyta; Magnoliopsida; Malpighiales; Euphorbiaceae.